RNAcentral lists this ribosomal RNA (273 nucleotides) under uncultured bacterium. RNAcentral describes it as "partial 16S ribosomal RNA". It matches the Rfam family "Bacterial small subunit ribosomal RNA", at positions 523 to 796 of the family's 1533-position model. The record is from RNAcentral.
AUACGUAUGUCGCAAGCGUUAUCCGGAAUUAUUGGGCGUAAAGCGAGUCUAGGCGGCUUGUUAAGUCAGAUGUGAAAAUGCGGGGCUCAACUCCGUAUUGCGUUUGAAACUGGCAGGCUAGAGUACUGGAGAGGUGGGCGAAACUACAAGUGUAGAGGUGAAAUUCGUAGAUAUUUGUAGGAAUGCCGAUGGUGAAGACAGCUCACUGGACAGAUACUGACGCUAAAGCUCGAAAGCGUGGGGAGCGAACAGGAUUAGAAACCCGGGUAGUCC